GGAGGGUGCGAGCGUUGUCCGGAAUCACUGGGCGUAAAGGGCGCGUAGGCGGCCUGAUAAGUAGGGGGUGAAAUCCUGCGGCUUAACCGCAGGGCUGCCUUCUAAACUGUCAGGCUAGAGCACGGUAGAGGCAGAUGGAAUUCCCGGUGUAGCGGUGGAGUGCGUAGAGAUCGGGAAGAACAUCAGUGGCGAAGGCGGUCUGCUGGGCCGUUGCUGACGCUGAGGCGCGACAGCGUGGGGAGCAAACAGGAUUAGAUACCCUGGUAGUCCACGCCGUAAACGAUGGGCACUAGGCGUCGGGGGGAGCGACCCUCCCGGUGCCGUCGCUAACGCAGUAAGUGCCCCGCCUGGGGAGUACGGCCGCAAGGCUG
Molecule: ribosomal RNA, 371 nt
Filed under: uncultured bacterium
Lineage: Bacteria
Description: bacterial SSU rRNA
Rfam family: Bacterial small subunit ribosomal RNA
Source: RNAcentral